UAUACAAUAAUAUGUCUUUUGUUUCAUUGUGUUAUAGGAUCCUGAGGACUAUUUAGCUUGUGUCCUGCAUCUCUUGAAGACUUAUUUUGUACAUAAAUUUUCCAAGCUUGUAAGCAAAUGUACAUUUUAUAGAAACAUUGAAACUAAAAAUGUACAUUUUAUAGAAACACUAAUAGGCUUAGAAUAAAUGCAUCUAAAAUUAUUGAGUUUUGAAAUUUGAAAAAGUAGGCAAGAGUUUUCUUGAAGCAAUAGAUGUCUUUGUUUGCUAUAUUAAGACUUUGAUUAGAACAUAAGAUUGAUUAUUAGAUGUUAAAGUUUAAAGCUCUUAUUAAAAUAUUAUGGAGUUGGUUACAGCAACAUAAAAAACAAAUGCCUGAUGUAAAUAAUAAAAAAGAUAUUUUUUUGACAUCAUCAAUUGUAUGCAUGAAGCUGAAUGUUGGAAUGAGUGAAUCUGGUUUUAACAGUUUUGUGAUUGUUCCUCGGUGACAUAUGUAUCUGUGUUUUACUAAGUGACUUAAUAAAGUGAUGAAUGAAGUUGA
Non-coding RNA from Biomphalaria pfeifferi, 539 nucleotides. NCBI's taxonomy places the organism in Eukaryota, Metazoa, Mollusca, Gastropoda, Planorbidae. The record is from the annotation of a GenBank genome assembly.